Oncorhynchus tshawytscha (Chinook salmon) is the source of this 803-nucleotide long non-coding RNA. The record is from Ensembl. Lineage: Eukaryota; Metazoa; Chordata; Actinopteri; Salmoniformes; Salmonidae.
CAGUAAGAUAACUCAGAACACUAACUAACAGCUAAACUACUACGGUAACUCAGGACACUAACUAACAGCUAAACUACUACGGUAACUCAGGACACUAACUAACAGCUAAACUACUAAGGUAACUCAAGACACUAACUAAAAGCUAAACUACUACGGUAACUCUAACUCCUGACCAAUGAUGUGGUCUGUGGAGCCUAUUCUUUCUGAGGAUAGUAUCCACUGUGGUCUUUCACUUUGUUGGACAUCAUGAUCAAACUAACGGCACAAAACCAAACUAGCGUGAGGCUACUGAACUCCUACAGCACGGUGUGAACCCCAAUCUCUGCCGGGACUCUCUCUCCUUACCUAAUUACGGUCCUAUUCUCUGAGGAUAUCCUCUGUCUUGUCAUUACGUUGACCGUGUCUACGUUCUGAAUAUUUCAGUUUUUCGUCCCGGCUAAUAAGAUGCGAAUGUUUGUUUGUUUGUGUUUUUAUGAAUAUUCAACACAAUGUCAUUUUAACUGCCCUCUGUCUAUUAUAAUUUCACAAAACAACGAAUGAAACUCAUAUCGAUCCCUCAUUUCCCCCACAGCUAAAGGCUGGAGUUAUGAAUACCGUGGGCAUUCCCAAGACAAAGUCAAGGCCCCUGGACGAGUCUCCAUCCCGUUGCUGUGAUGAAGUCUGUCUUUACUGACCAGCUGCUCUUUCUGUCUCAUUUAUACUCCACUGUGCUGAAUGCUUUGUUACCAUGUUAGUUUGUCUUAGAUGUGAGUCAUAUUUUUCAUAUCGUGCAAAAUUAUUUUUAUUAAUAAAAAUUGAAAAAA